CGCUGGCGGCGUGCUUAACACAUGCAAGUCGAACGGUGACCCAGGGCUUGCCCUGGUGAUCAGUGGCGAACGGGUGAGUAACACGUGGGCAACCUGCCCCUGACUUCGGGAUAACUCCUCGAAAGAGGAGCUAAUACCGGAUACGACCACUUCGGACAUCCGAUGGUGGUGGAAAGUUUUCGGUCAGGGAUGGGCCCGCGGCCUAUCAGCUAGUUGGUGGGGUAAUGGCCUACCAAGGCGACGACGGGUAGCCGGCCUGAGAGGGCGACCGGCCACACUGGGACUGAGACACGGCCCAGACUCCUACGGGAGGCAGCAGUGGGGAAUAUUGCGCAAUGGGCGAAAGCCUGACGCAGCGACGCCGCGUGAGGGAUGAAGGCCUUCGGGUUGUAAACCUCUUUCAGCAGGGACGAAGCGAAAGUGACGGUACCUGCAGAAGAAGCACCGGCUAACUACGUG
RNAcentral lists this ribosomal RNA (459 nucleotides) under uncultured bacterium. RNAcentral's name for it is "bacterial SSU rRNA". It matches the Rfam family "Bacterial small subunit ribosomal RNA", at positions 34 to 507 of the family's 1533-position model. The record is from RNAcentral.